This 423-nucleotide ribosomal RNA is filed under the name uncultured bacterium. Its description in RNAcentral is "bacterial SSU rRNA". It matches the Rfam family "Bacterial small subunit ribosomal RNA", at positions 488 to 917 of the family's 1533-position model. The record is from RNAcentral.
UAGUAUCAGCGUGCCAGCCGCCGCGGUAAUACAGAGGGUGCGAGCGUUAAUCGGAAUUACUGGGCGUAAAGCGCGCGUAGGCGGCUUUUCAAGUCGAUUGUGAAAUCCCCGGGCUUAACCUGGGAACUGCAGUCGAGACUGUCUAGCUAGAGUAUGGGAGAGGGAAGUGGAAUUUCAGGUGCAGCGGUGAAAUGCGUAGAUAUCUGAAGGAACAUCAGUGGCGAAAGCGACUUCCUGGACCAAUACUGACGCUCAUGUGCGAAAGCGUGGGGAGCAAACAGGAUUAGAUACCCUGGUAGUCCACGCCAUAAACGAUGAGAACUGGAUGUCGGAGGGGUCUGCCCUUCGGUGUCGUAGCUAACGCGUUAAGUUCUCCGCCUGGGGAGUACGGCCGCAAGGUUGAAACUUAAAGGAAUUGGCGGG